This 191-nucleotide non-coding RNA is filed under the name Alloalcanivorax dieselolei. RNAcentral describes it as "Alcanivorax dieselolei FMN sequence". It matches the Rfam family "FMN riboswitch aptamer (RFN element)". From Rfam's summary of the family: The RFN element is a highly conserved domain that is found frequently in the 5'-untranslated regions of prokaryotic mRNAs that encode for flavin mononucleotide (FMN) biosynthesis and transport proteins. This element is a metabolite-dependent riboswitch that directly binds FMN in the absence of proteins. In Bacillus subtilis, the riboswitch most likely controls gene expression by causing premature transcription termination within the 5' untranslated region of the ribDEAHT operon and precluding access to the ribosome-binding site of ypaA mRNA. The record is from RNAcentral. RNAcentral also lists the same sequence under 1 other name. Lineage: Bacteria; Pseudomonadati; Pseudomonadota; Gammaproteobacteria; Oceanospirillales; Alcanivoracaceae.
GAUCGUUCUCGGGGCGGGGUGAAAGUCCCCACCGGCGGUAAGGGAGCCUCUCCCAAGCCCGCGAGCGCCCGCGGCCACAGGCCAUCGCCAUUGUCUCCAUCGGCGGUCCGGUCUGCCUCAUGGUCACGGGGUCAGCAGAUCUGGUGUGAUUCCAGAGCCGACGGUGAUAGUCCGGAUAAGAGAGAACGGGA